ACACGUAAACAACCUGCCUUCAGGAUGGGGACAACAGACGGAAACGACUGCUAAUACCGAAUAAGUUCCAAGAGCCGCAUGGCCCAUGGAAGAAAAGGUGGCCUCUACCUGUAAGCUAUCGCCUGAAGAGGGGUUUGCGUCUGAUUGGCUGGUUGGAGGGGUAACGGCCCACCAAGGCGACGAUCAGUAGCCGGUCUGAGAGGAUGAACGGCCACACUGGAACUGAGACACGGUCCAGACUCCUACGGGAGGCAGCAUG
This 259-nucleotide ribosomal RNA is filed under the name uncultured bacterium. RNAcentral's name for it is "partial 16S ribosomal RNA". It matches the Rfam family "Bacterial small subunit ribosomal RNA", at positions 113 to 353 of the family's 1533-position model. The record is from RNAcentral.